This is a transfer RNA of 127 nucleotides. It matches the Rfam family "tRNA". From Rfam's summary of the family: Transfer RNA (tRNA) molecules are approximately 80 nucleotides in length. Their secondary structure includes four short double-helical elements and three loops (D, anti-codon, and T loops). The record is from Rfam.
GGGCGAUUGGUUUAGUGGUAUAAUACCCCCUUAGCAUCAGCUGGUCCUCUAAAAAGAGUUGGCAAGCGCGACUCAGUCACGUGACCCAGGGUGGGGGUGGUCGAGGGUUCGAUUCCCUCAUCGUCCA